Molecule: unclassified non-coding RNA, 361 nt
Filed under: uncultured bacterium
Lineage: Bacteria
Description: contains 16S-23S intergenic spacer region
Source: RNAcentral
UCCGUGUUAACCACGGCAGUCUCGUGUGAAAAUCAACACACGAUAAGGGUUGCGCUCGUUACCCCACUGAAGGGAACAUUUCACAACACGAGCUGACGGCAACCAUGCAGCACCUGUCCAACGAUCUCGAAGCUGCCAACGUUUCUGCUGGCAUACAGUUGGAUUUCUAAUCUAGGUAAGGUUCCUCGUUUAGCAUCGAAUUAAACCACACGCUCCACCGCUUGUGCGGGCCCCCGUCUAUUCCUUUGAGUUUUAGCCUUGCGGCCGUACUACCCAGGCGGUCAACUUAACGCGUUAGCUUCGACACUGAGAGAGUCGAUACUCCCAAUGCCUAGUUGACAUCGUUUACGGCAUGGAUUAC